Drosophila albomicans is the source of this 513-nucleotide long non-coding RNA. RefSeq lists it as uncharacterized. NCBI's taxonomy places the organism in Eukaryota, Metazoa, Arthropoda, Insecta, Diptera, Drosophilidae. The transcript has 3 exons. The record is from RefSeq and is a predicted model, not a curated record.
UUGAGUUUUACUUAUUUUUGGGCAAAUUAAAAAGUAUCUUAGAGAAGCAUAUACAAUUCGGUCAGACGAAAAGAAACUGCUCGAAUGCACUUCGUGGCAAGAAGUGGCCAAGAAAGCUUAUUCGCUUGGCAAAGUGCAAAUUGAAAUGGCUUAGACUGAUGCAAAAUGGUACAAAUCCCGUCCAUCAGAAGCAUACACAAAGCCACAUCUUGGCACAGAAGCCACGAUGAAGGAAGGAGCUGCUGUCGCACAUAUAGCCAGAAGUUGUUAGGUGGAUGCCUGGCUUUGAAUGCAGAUGAGUUGACAAGGCAAAAAGUUCAAGAGAGACAAAAGAAAGAGAGAAAGAGAGAGAGAGAAUUCGUUUAGCUUUCGGUGCAUACUCACCGGAAUGGAUGGCAGAUGGCAAUAUAACGCUCCACGGUAAAAGCUGUAAUUGUGAGCACAGUGGCAUUGGCAGCCAUCUCGGACAGGACGCUCUCCAGUAUGCAUAUGCCGUCCGUGAAGGGAUAUGAG